This 6538-nucleotide long non-coding RNA is filed under the name Gossypium raimondii (Peruvian cotton). Its description in RNAcentral is "long non-coding RNA (GRAI_LNC004845)". The record is from RNAcentral. Lineage: Eukaryota; Viridiplantae; Streptophyta; Magnoliopsida; Malvales; Malvaceae.
AAGAAACAGAGAGCAAAACAAAACAGAGAAGGGAGAAAGAAAGAAACAGAGAGCAAAACGAAACAGAGAAGGAAGGAAGGAAAGAAAGAAAGAAAAAGAAAAAGAGAAAUUUGGGGUUUUAAGGUUCAGAGUUAAUUUGGUAAGUCAAUUUAAUCCCUUUUCUCUUAGUUUUGAAGUUUUUGGAAUCCUAGAGAUAAAUACUACUUGAUUUAUGUUGAUAUUUUGAAAGUUAGUAGAUUAUUAGAUGAUGUUCAUGUUGAAUAAAUUGAAGUGUUAGGGGGUUAAAUUGAUUGAAUUUCAAGUUAGAAGUUAGUAAAGGAUUUAAUUGUAAAAUAAAGUGUAAGUUUUGAAUAGUAGGGACUAAAUUGAGAGAAUUUCGAAAUUAGGGAUUUAUGGUGAAAUUGAAGAGUUAAAAUGAGUUUAUAGUAAGAAUUAAGAGAGAAUAUAGAGUUAGAUUGGGAAAAAUAAAAUUAGUAUUGAUAAGGGAUUAAAUUAGAAUUUGGGUAAAGUUUAGGUAUAAAAGAAAAUAUUUUGAUGAAACUGAGUAUUAAUGAUUUUUAAUUGUUUAAUUACGUAGCUAAUGUCGUGUACGAGUCAUUGUCCGAGAAAGGAAAGGAGAAGGUGGACAAGGAUUGACUCAGGAGAAAUUUCGGUUAGUAUUACUAUAAUUCGAAUUUAAUUAUUAAUUGUUAAAUUUUAAAUUAAUAUACAUGAUAAGCAAAUUGAGGUAAGCAUCACGACUGAAUUGAAUGAUAAAUACGUAUUGGUAUUGAAUUUAUUAAUAGUAAUUGUUGAAUUUUGAAUAAUAUGUUUAGUAUUAAAAAAAAUAGAUGAAUAUUGAUAUUGAAUUGUACAUGAAUUCGAUUGGAAAAUGAAUUUAAAUAUAUAUAUGAAUGGAAUAAAGUGAAUUAAUUGUGAAUAGUGUGAUAUAUGUGAAUGUGAAUAGUAGUAAUUGUAAUGACGGAGAAUGAUAAUCCUUUUUGAAAUAAUUUGUAAAGUAUUAAUAAUGAGUCAGAUUAUGCCAGUAGAUGCCCAAGUAGAUGGAAUUUAGAACUACCAGGAUAUUAGUGGCAUGCCAUUAAGGAACUUAUUAAGGAACUUUAGCGCGCUCUCUGAUAUUAGCACGUUGGUGCUCUUUGAUAUCAGCACGUUGGUACUCUCUGAUUAUUAGCACGUUGGUGCUCUCUGAUAUUUAGCACGGCAGUGCUCUCUGUUUAGCACAUUUGUGCUCUCUGUAUUUGUUCCGUAUAUCCGGGGUGUUCUGUAAAAUCUACUUUGGGCUAAGAUUAUAAGCUGUGGACAAAAGUGAAUCAUUAAUGUGUUAAGGUAAGUCUUAUAAAGUUUAUAUGUACCGUUUUAGGCAUAAUGUGCCGUAUUGGUGUGUUUUGGUUGGAUCGGUGUAUCCGCCAAGAUCUGAGUCAAGUUAAUAGGGGUAAAUGAAUAAUUUUGAUAAUAUAAAUUUUUAUUGAAUGAUCUUGAAUAUGAAUUGAAAUAGCUAUUGUUAAGAAGUGAGAAGUGAAAAUAAAAUAAUUUGAAAGAGUGAAAUAAUAUGUGAAUUUAACUGAAUACAAGUUAUUGAAAUUUAGUUAUGGAUUUAAUGAAUAAAUUGAGUGUUAAAAGAUUUACAAUACAUAUUGAUUAUAAAUAGAAAUGAUAAUGAAUGAGUUGAUAAAUUGAUUGAAUUUGUAUGAAUUGGAAUGAAUUAUUAGAAUGAGAUGUCGAAAAAUCCAAUAGAAUUGAGAUAGUGAAAUAAGGUAUGAAUACAAUUAAAUACAAGAAUUGAAAUAUUGCUUAUUGUUAUUAAUGAUCAAGUUGAGUUAAAGUAUGAGAUAAUUAAUGAAUAAUUGUAGACAUAAAUUAAAUGUAUAUAAAUUAUCAAUUAAUAUUAUUAAUUUGNNNNNNNNNNNNNNNNNNNNNNNNNNNNNNNNNNNNNNNNNNNNNNNNNNNNNNNNNNNNNNNNNNNNNNNNNNNNNNNNNNNNNNNNNNNNNNNNNNNNNNNNNNNNNNNNNNNNNNNNNNNNNNNNNNNNNNNNNNNNNNNNNNNNNNNNNNNNNNNNNNNNNNNNNNNNNNNNNNNNNNNNNNNNNNNNNNNNNNNUUUGAAUGUUGUAUCUAUGAUAUUGCUAAAGAAAAGAGGUGUGAGUAUGUGAUAAUGUUUGGCUUUAAAAAUGGUUAAGUAUGAAAAUCAAGAAAGAGUAAAUUUUGCAAAGAAACAGAAUUCAGGCAGCAACAGUGACGUAACUUUGAAAAAUCACCUAGGAUAGUAUAAAAUGAAUUAGAGGGUGAAUGAUAUAUGAAAUGAAAGAUUAUUGAGUCUAUUUUUAUAGAAAAAUAACGGUUUAGCAAAAAGAAAUUUAUAUUUUAAGAUAUGUGAAUUUUAGUGAGAAAUGGUCAGAUCUAUUUCUGGAGUCCCCUGUUCCGAGUUUAGAAAAUCACUAAAAAUGGUAUAAAAAUAUUUAUGAGUUGUAGUUUAUAUGUGUAGAAUCCUUAUUGAGUCUAUUUUCUGUAGAAAUAAGUGGUAAUAUCAUAUGAAAAUCCUAUAAUGAGAAAAUUUAUUUUUAGUACCAAGGGGUCAGGACAGUCGAGUGAAGAAACAGGGGAGAAUUUAACUAAUAAACUGUACUAAUUGGUCAAACCAAGAAUUCUGAAAAUUUUAUGGUAUAAAGAUAUAUGAGUCUAGUUUCAGGAAAAAUUUACGAAAUUAAAUUUGGAGUUCCGUAGCUCGAGUUAUAAUCAAUUUAGUAACUGCUGCGCGAUUGGACAGAUUACUGUAAUGCCUCGUACUCGAUUCCGGAAACGGUCUCGGGUAAGGGGUGUUACACUAAGUGUGCGAAACCGAGAUCAAUUUGGUUAAAUGAGAGAGAGCACUAAUUGUGCAACUUUAUUAUGGCCUCGAUAAAUUAUUUAGCACAAAUUGUACUGAUUCAAUGAAUGAUAAAUGUGACAUAUAUGUAUAUGUUAGUAUAAGUACGUAAUAGUUAAUUAAUAUAUGCUAUCAAAGUUAGUUGGUUAUGUCAAUUUUGAUACAAAUUAUUUGAUGCAAAUGGAAGUAUGUGUGUGUGAAAAGCUUAUAUUCGGCCAAAGGGGUAAGUAUAUGUGAAGUCAUAAUUAUGUUUUAUAUGCAUUUGUAUAUGAAUGAGUACAUUCGGUAAAGAGUGGGUAUAUGAUUUGAAGAUGAAAAAUAACUAUGUUAUUAUUUAAAGGUAUAUUCGGACAAGCUGAAAUUGGUUCAUAGUUACAUAUUUGAUAUUUAAGUUUUGCAAGCUCGAAUGUGUAUAUAUAUGAAUAUGAUUGCAUUAUUCGAUUUUGUUAUUGAAUUAUUAACGUCAUUGAAUUGUUUAAUUGCUUAUGACUUACUAAGCUGUGAUAGCUUAUUGUGUAUGUGUGUUUCCUUCGGUUUUAUAGAUUUUAGAAGCUAGUUACGGGCUCGGGGAUCGUCAGCGUAGUCAAUCACACUAUCGUCCGUCCAUCAGUACCUAUAAAAGUUAAAUUUAAAAUAUAUGGCAUGUAUAGGCUAUACUCCCCUUUUGAAUAUAUUUUGAAUAAAGUGUAUAUAUAUAAUAGGCCAUGCGAAAAUGGCUUGUUUAUUUUGACAUGAAUGGUUUCAUGCUUUGAUUAAAUAUUAUGGUUGAUGAUUUGGCUAUGUUUCGUAAAUGGUUGAGACUAAUAUAAGUGAUGUUAUGCUUUGGAAGAUUUUGAAUUUUGAUAAUUAUACAAAUGCUUAUAGCAUAUUCGGCCCAAUGUUUAUAAUUGCUUGUAUUUAUAAGGGUUUAUAUAGGUACAUAUGUUAAAAUAUAAUGAUUACAUGUAAAAUAGGUAAAAUAUGUGAGUUUUAUAUACACAUUUGUGUCAGUGUUGUUUGUAAUUGAGUUGUUAGUCGAGUAGGCGAAAUGAGGUAUGACCAAAAGUGGUGUUUGAAAUAUUCUGCAUAAUUUUUUAUUAUGAGUUAUGUGUUUACGAAUAUGUUCGAUGCAUGAUAUGAAAUGACUCGUAAUAAGUUGAUAUUACCUUUUUUAUUUAAAACUUGGUUGGUUUAGUAGGUUGAACAUGUGUACAUCUAUGAUUAUUCGAAUUUGAAUUUGGUUCAGUAAUACCUUGUAACCCUAUUCUGGCGACGGUUACGGGUUAGGGGUGUUACACUCAAAUUCUAAAUGCUUUAUGGCUAUGGGGCAAGCUUUAGGCCCUUAUACCUUAUAAUGAGCUCACUUAUUCAAGUGACACUUUCCGCUAAGGUAGCCAAUAAUAGUGAGAAACAACUCCAAGGGUUAUUGGAAGACUUUGGUGAUGGUUUUCAAGUGCCAAAAGGUUUACCACUACCUCGGUUGCAAGACCAUAGAAUUCAUUUGAAACAUGAAUGAGUUGUAGUUAAAAUUUGACCCUACAAAUAUCCUACCAUUCAAAAGGGAGAGAUGGAGAAAUUGAUUCAAGAGAUGCUUCAAGCUAGGAUAAUCAGGGAUAACAAUAGCUUUUUUGCUUCCCUUAUAGUGAUGAUAAAAAAAAAAGAUGGAAGCUGAAGGUUGUAUGUUGAUUACAUACAACUAAAUCAACAUAUAAUCAAGGAUAAGUUUCCCAUUCCCAUAGUUGAGGAGUUGCUGGAUGAAUUGAGGGAAACUCGAGUGUUUUCUAAACUGGAUUUGAGGUCUGGAUAUAAUGAAAUCUGAAUAUGAAAACCUGAUGUACAUAAAAUAACAUUCAGGACACAUGAGAGGCAUUAUGAGUUCCUAGUGAUGCCCUUUGUCCUCACUAAUGCUCCCUUCAGUUUUCAGGCUCUUAUGAAUUCAAUGUUCAAACCAUUGUUGAGGAAGUUUGUGCUUGUAUUCUUUGAUGACAUAAUGGUCUAUUCAAAGUCAUGGUUCAAACAUUUACAACAUUUGAGAACAAUUCUUCUCAUCUUAAGGGAUCAACAACUAUUUGCAAAAAAGAAUAAAUAUUGUUUUAGUACUUCUCAAAUUGAGUACCUUGAACAUGUGCUACCUGAGGGGACAGUAUUCAUGGAUAGAUCCAAGAUUGAAUGUAUUUCUUCAUGGCCCAUUCCUCAAUCACUAAAAUAAUUAAGAAGCUUUUUUGGACUAUCUGGCUACUAUAGGAGAUCCAUUAGAAACUAUGGAUUGUUAGCCAAGCCCCUUACAGAUGGGUAGCUAUCACACCAUUUCAGCAACAAUGGGUAGUUAAAAUGUUAGGUUAUGACUUUGAGGUCUCUUAUAGGAAAUGAAUCAACAAAAGGGUGGUUGAUGCUCUCUCUAGACAACCUCAGCUAGAGCAAGGUCAAUUCUUUCAAUUAUCAGCUAGUUUUGUUAUUUCCAGUCUCUUGGAGCAGGUGAAACAAUCAUAUGGAUUAGAUGAUAAGUUGAAAGGGAUCAUACAAGGUGUCAAAAAGCAUAGUCAUCAAGACCAAAAGUAUUCUUGGGAUGGAAGAUUUUUGCAAAAUGAAGGGAAAAUUGUGGUGGGAAAGAACAUGAAUUUGCGAAGGGAACUGUUUCACCAUUUUUAUACUAGUGUAAUGGGGGGUCACUCAGGUAUUCAUGCCACUAGGAAACAUUUAGUUAGUUUGUUAUAUUAGAAGGGUCUAACAACUGAUGUCAAACACUAGAUUAGAGAGUGCUUGGUCUGUCAGAGAUGUAAGAGUGAGACAUUAGCAUCUCCAGGACUUUUGCAGCCUUUACCUCUGCCUGAUCGAGGCUGGUCUAUUAUUAGUUUAGAUUUCAUUGAAGGAUUGCCGAACUCAAGAAGGAAGAAUUCCAUUUUGGUUGUGGUGGACCAUUUAACUAAAUAUGGUAAUUUUUUGGCACUAUCCCACCCAUAUACAGCUAAAGAUGUAGUACAGAAGUACUUGAAUCAUAUUUAUAAACUUCAUGGCAUGCCUAAUUCAAUUAUAUUAGACAGAGACAAAAUUUUUGUCAGUGGAUUUUGGCAAGAACUAUUUCGAAGAGCUAGUACCAGACUCCUAUUGUCCACAGCAUACCAUCCUCAAACAGAUGGUCAAAUGGAGGUACUAAAUCAGUGUCUUGAGAAUUAUCUGAGAUGCAUGACCGGAGAGACACCUGCAAAUUGGUUCAAUUGGUUACCCCUUGCAGAGUGGUGGUAUAACUCCUUUUUUCAUUCCUCCAUUCAGCUCACCCCAUAUAAAGCUUUGUAUGGGCAACCACCACCUCAACACAUGCCUUACUUAGCAUCCACAGAUGACAGGAGCCUACAGGCUCGAGAGGUCGCUAGGAAGCUGUUUCAAUUUCAUCUCAAAAGAGCUCAGUCUCUUAUGAAGCAGUUAGCUAACAAACAUCGAUCUGAGAGGAGUUUCCAUGUUGGUGAUUUGGUAUACUUGCGACUACAACCUUAUAGGGAACAGACAAUUAGGAAGGUUUUUCAUAAAAACUUAUCUUUUAAGUACUAUGGACCCUUCUCUAUGAUUAAGAAAGUGUGGGAAGUGGCGUAUACUCUUCAAUUACCCCCAAGCUCCCAUAUUCAUCCAACAUUUCACGUCUCUCAGUCAGCUCCUACUCAAGCUCAACUACCCUUGGUUGAUGCUCAUGGAGCAUUGUAGAAA